Molecule: ribosomal RNA, 253 nt
Filed under: uncultured bacterium
Lineage: Bacteria
Description: partial 16S ribosomal RNA
Rfam family: Bacterial small subunit ribosomal RNA
Source: RNAcentral
UACGGAGGAUCCAAGCGUUAUCCGGAUUUAUUGGGUUUAAGGGGUGCGUAGGCGGCUUAUUAAGUCAGAGGUGAAAGACGGUGGCUCAACCAUCGCAGUGCCUUUGAUACUGAUGAGCUUGAAUACACUUGAGGUAGGCGGAAUGUGACAAGUAGCGGUGAAAUGCAUAGAUAUGUCACAGAACACCAAUUGCGAAGGCAGCUUACUAAGGUGCAAUUGACGCUGAGGCACGAAAGCGUGGGGAUCAAACAGG